This is a long non-coding RNA of Ornithorhynchus anatinus (platypus), 1327 nucleotides long. RefSeq lists it as uncharacterized. NCBI's taxonomy places the organism in Eukaryota, Metazoa, Chordata, Mammalia, Monotremata, Ornithorhynchidae. The transcript has 2 exons. The record is from RefSeq and is a predicted model, not a curated record.
CAGACCUGCAAUGGAAACAAGCUAUGAUGCAACGAGAACUGUGAGGGCUUAUGCUCAGCACCCAUCCCAGGGCCCGAAAGGGAAUAAAGGAAGGACAGGACCCACGAUGUUGGAAAUUCCCAUCCUGCCGAGGUAUUCCCUCACCUUCAGGGACCAAGACAACUCAUGGCUAAUUCGCCUGGACAAGAAUGGCCCAGACUUCAAUGGGAGACACUGGGGCUUGAAGCUGGUUCAGGAAUUAACAACUAAAUGAAAAUCUUAAAGGCACCCUAUUAGGGCUCUGAAAUUACUCUAGGCACAACAGUAUGAAAAUAUAUUUAGGGAGAAUAACUGAUUAUGUUUCACUGGUUCCUGAAAUGCAUGAUCUGUUUAAACUAACUCUCUGCCCUCUGCCAUGUCAGGUGACAAAUAGCUUGGCGGACUAGGCAUUAACAGCAGGAACACAUUGCAUUCUGCAGAACUCAUUCAACAUGCAAUGUCACCCCUCCUGAGACCAAUGAAGGGAGCACAAGGGAGACCACUCCCCUGGUUUUAGUAUGGGUUUGUUAAUUAUAACUGCUGGGCACAUUUGCCAUCUCAUUCUACAUCACUCAUCAAAAGUAUGCAAACAAAUUUAAUGUGCCACUUCAACGAUCCUGACAUCAAAACUGCAAAAUUCAUGUAUAAUCUCCAGGUUCUGUGACACAUAAAAUAUGCACAAGAAAAAAGCCAGUGGGAUGGUUGAGGGUUUUUUUUCCCAUUGGCAAUCACAGACAAUGAUUUACGCACGCAAUAAUAUAUGGACUGUCCAUAUCCGUGAAGAGGUUGGAACUCUAAAAUAAAUCACAGCCGGUUUUUAAGACUGUGAUUCCGCGUGUAUGCCUAUGCUUGUGUACAUCUGCCGUCAUUAUGCCAUCAGCAAAACCUCCUAAGUUCAGAGCUUUAUGAUGCUGCACUGGCUAUCCACUCUGCGCUUUCUACCCACAAACCAGAAAGAGCUGGGCUCUCCAGCUAAAAGGAAGGAGUAAAACUUAACAAUGCUGAUCACAAGCAAUAAACACAGAACACACAGCUUCUCAGCCGACUGACUGGGAACAUUCUAGUUUGAGCAGGUCCUGCUGAAAAAGUUCAAGAUCGGACUGGAUAUUUCAGAAAUGAAAAGAUUUGAUCGUCAGCUGCUUCCCUCUUUGGGCUGUAAAUUCAUGGCGGGGAAGGACUGCAGUCCUGUUCUUUCUAUCAUUGGCUGUGGCACCUCUCCAGGCUGCACCCAGUGGAUGUUUAAAUCAGACCUGACUGGGUAGUUACAACUAAAAUAACUAGAAUAUUUUGCAAGACUGUUGUAAAUCUA